This 266-nucleotide long non-coding RNA is filed under the name Homo sapiens (human). Its description in RNAcentral is "non-protein coding lnc-TMEM97-3:1". The record is from RNAcentral. Lineage: Eukaryota; Metazoa; Chordata; Mammalia; Primates; Hominidae.
AAAAACCACAGCACAAAAAAUAAACUUGUUUUAUUCUUGGGGAGAAAUUUCAUGUUAUACUGUCCAAUAUUAAUUUAGAAAAAAAGACAGUUUUUUUUUUUAAGGCAUUUCAGAAACAUUGCCCUUUCAAGCAAGUUAGAACAAUAUCCCUCAACAUUAAAUACCAUCUUUUUAGCCAUCAGUACCACUGGGCAUGUGUCAUAAAAGAGAAAUGGGGGCAGAUAUAGCUCCCUUUCAUAUGCAAGUCUUAGAGCUAUGUUUGGCAU